Molecule: long non-coding RNA, 661 nt
Organism: Lemur catta (Ring-tailed lemur)
Lineage: Eukaryota; Metazoa; Chordata; Mammalia; Primates; Lemuridae
Exons: 3
Source: RefSeq, a predicted model, not a curated record
CGCUCGCCCGCGGCGAACCCCGCCCGGGUCUGGCCCGCCCGGACCUCCUCGCUCCUCGCCUGGAGGCCUCAGGCCCAUCCGGAGGGGACAGAAACGGCCUCACCUGCCAGAGGACCUGCUCUUUAACGGGGCUUCUCCCCUGCGCCAGCCUGCCAGCCCAGGAGGGUGGGGGUUACGACCCUCAUUCGUUCACUAAUUCUUCCGUUCAUUCAACCAACACACAUUUACGCAGCGCCCGCUGUGUGCCACGUGCCGCUGUGAGCAUGCCAGGUCCAACCGCGACAAAGAUCCGCGCCCUCGGGGGCUGACAUGUAGCGAGGGAGUCAGACCAUACCUACAGCACAUAAGCGAAUUAUGUCGUUGGAAGGGAAUACAUUUUAUGGAGAAAAUUAGAGCAGGGUAAGGGAAUGGGGGGGGCAGCGACACGUGCCGAGUGAUCGCCAUUGCCAGCUGUGUGUGAGAGGACAGAAGACUCCCGCCUUCAUGGAGUGAGGGAGACAGGACAUCCGCAGGCACAUACAUAAGGCAAUUCAGGUUCUGGGAAUUGGCCAAAUGAUUAGAGAGAAUCCGUUCUACAGAAUACUCAGAAGCAGGAGAAAAAGAAAAAAGAAAAAAAUACAUAGAAGACGCAAAGUUAUAUAAAGACUUAGGUAUAAAUCUA